This 269-nucleotide ribosomal RNA is filed under the name uncultured anaerobic ammonium-oxidizing bacterium. RNAcentral's name for it is "partial 16S ribosomal RNA". It matches the Rfam family "Bacterial small subunit ribosomal RNA", at positions 565 to 832 of the family's 1533-position model. The record is from RNAcentral.
GAGCACGUAGGUGGGUUUGUAAGUCGGUUGUGAAAGCCUUCCGCUCAACGGGAGAACGGCAUUCGAUACUGCAUGGCUUGAGUGCGGGAGGGGAGAGUGGAACUUCUGGUGGAGCGGUGAAAUGCGUAGAUAUCAGGAGGAACACCGGCGGCGAAGGCGACUCUCUGGCCCGUAACUGGCGCUGAGUGUGCGAAAGCUAGGGGAGCAAACGGGAUUAGAUACCCCGGUAGUCCUAGCCGUAAACGAUGGGCACUAAGUAGAGAAUCGUC